RNAcentral lists this ribosomal RNA (462 nucleotides) under uncultured bacterium. Its description in RNAcentral is "partial 16S ribosomal RNA". It matches the Rfam family "Bacterial small subunit ribosomal RNA", at positions 28 to 506 of the family's 1533-position model. The record is from RNAcentral.
GAUGAACGCUGACAGAAUGCUUAACAUAUGCAAGUCUUUGGCGAAGCUGUGCUUGCACAGCCUAGCCAAGGCGGACGGGUGAGUAACGCGUAAGGAACUUGCCCUGCAGUCAGGGAUAACAGACGGAAACGACUGAUAAAACCUGGUAAAGUCAGGCGGACUCAUGUCCAGCCUGAUGAAAAGAGAUGCUGCAGGAGAGCCUUGCGUCCUAUUAGCUUGUUGGUGGGGUAACGGCCCACCAAGGCGAUGAUAGGUAGCCGGCCUGAGAGGGUGGACGGCCACAAGGGGACGGAGAUACGGCCCUUACUCCUACGGGAGGCAGCAGUGGGGAAUAUUGGACAAUGGGGGCAACCCUGAUCCAGCAAUUCUGUGUGCACGAUGAAGGUUUUCGGAUUGUAAAGUGCUUGCAGCAGGGAAGAAAAAAAUGACGGUACCUGCAGAAGAAGCGACGGCUAAAUACGU